This 105-nucleotide microRNA precursor is filed under the name Canis lupus familiaris (dog). Its description in RNAcentral is "mir-8834 microRNA precursor family". It matches the Rfam family "mir-8834 microRNA precursor family". Lineage: Eukaryota; Metazoa; Chordata; Mammalia; Carnivora; Canidae. The record is from Rfam by way of RNAcentral. RNAcentral also lists the same sequence under 1 other name.
AGGAGGAACAACCCCAGUGGCGGGGCCAGCUCUGGAGCCCUGGAGUCCGCUCCUGCAGGAACUACUGAGCUCUUGGUCUGCAGGUCCUGGAGGCUUUGGGGCAGG